GAGGAGCCCAGAGCCUGAAUCAGUGUGUGUGUUAGUGGAAGCGUCUGGAAAGGCGCGCGAUACAGGGUGACAGCCCCGUACACAAAAAUGCACAUGCUGUGAGCUCGAUGAGUAGGGCGGGACACGUGGUAUCCUGUCUGAAUAUGGGGGGACCAUCCUCCAAGGCUAAAUACUCCUGACUGACCGAUAGUGAACCAGUACCGUGAGGGAAAGGCGAAAAGAACCCCGGCGAGGGGAGUGAAAAAGAACCUGAAACCGUGUACGUACAAGCAGUGGGAGCCUCUUUUAUGGGGUGACUGCGUACCUUUUGUAUAAUGGGUCAGCGACUUAUAUUCUGUAGCAAGGUUAACCGAAUAGGGGAGCCGAAGGGAAACCGAGUCUUAACUGGGCGUUAAGUUGCAGGGUAUAGACCCGAAACCCGGUGAUCUAGCCAUGGGCAGGUUGAAGGUUGGGUAACACUAACUGGAGGACCGAACCGACUAAUGUUGAAAAAUUAGCGGAUGACUUGUGGCUGGGGGUGAAAGGCCAAUCAAACCGGGAGAUAGCUGGUUCUCCCCGAAAGCUAUUUAGGUAGCGCCUCGUGAAUUCAUCUCCGGGGGUAGAGCACUGUUUCGGCAAGGGGGUCAUCCCGACUUACCAACCCGAUGCAAACUGCGAAUACCGGAGAAUGUUAUCACGGGAGACACACGGCGGGUGCUAACGUCCGUCGUGAAGAGGGAAACAACCCAGACCGCCAGCUAAGGUCCCAAAGUCAUGGUUAAGUGGGAAACGAUGUGGGAAGGCCCAGACAGCCAGGAUGUUGGCUUAGAAGCAGCCAUCAUUUAAAGAAAGCGUAAUAGCUCACUGGUCGAGUCGGCCUGCGCGGAAGAUGUAACGGGGCUAAACCAUGCACCGAAGCUGCGGCAGCGACACUAUGUGUUGUUGGGUAGGGGAGCGUUCUGUAAGCCUGUGAAGGUGUACUGUGAGGUAUGCUGGAGGUAUCAGAAGUGCGAAUGCUGACAUAAGUAACGAUAAAGCGGGUGAAAAGCCCGCUCGCCGGAAGACCAAGGGUUCCUGUCCAACGUUAAUCGGGGCAGGGUGAGUCGACCCCUAAGGCGAGGCCGAAAGGCGUAGUCGAUGGGAAACAGGUUAAUAUUCCUGUACUUGGUGUUACUGCGAAGGGGGGACGGAGAAGGCUAUGUUGGCCGGGCGACGGUUGUCCCGGUUUAAGCGUGUAGGCUGGUUUUCCAGGCAAAUCCGGAAAAUCAAGGCUGAGGCGUGAUGACGAGGCACUACGGUGCUGAAGCAACAAAUGCCCUGCUUCCAGGAAAAGCCUCUAAGCAUCAGGUAACAUCAAAUCGUACCCCAAACCGACACAGGUGGUCAGGUAGAGAAUACCAAGGCGCUUGAGAGAACUCGGGUGAAGGAACUAGGCAAAAUGGUGCCGUAACUUCGGGAGAAGGCACGCUGAUAUGUAGGUGAAGCGACUUGCUCGUGGAGCUGAAAUCAGUCGAAGAUACCAGCUGGCUGCAACUGUUUAUUAAAAACACAGCACUGUGCAAACACGAAAGUGGACGUAUACGGUGUGACGCCUGCCCGGUGCCGGAAGGUUAAUUGAUGGGGUUAGCGGUAACGCGAAGCUCUUGAUCGAAGCCCCGGUAAACGGCGGCCGUAACUAUAACGGUCCUAAGGUAGCGAAAUUCCUUGUCGGGUAAGUUCCGACCUGCACGAAUGGCGUAAUGAUGGCCAGGCUGUCUCCACCCGAGACUCAGUGAAAUUGAACUCGCUGUGAAGAUGCAGUGUACCCGCGGCAAGACGGAAAGACCCCGUGAACCUUUACUAUAGCUUGACACUGAACAUUGAGCCUUGAUGUGUAGGAUAGGUGGGAGGCUUUGAAGUGUGGACGCCAGUCUGCAUGGAGCCGGCCUUGAAAUACCACCCUUUAAUGUUUGAUGUUCUAACGUUGGCCCCUGAUCGGGGUUGCGGACAGUGUCUGGUGGGUAGUUUGACUGGGGCGGUCUCCUCCUAAAGAGUAACGGAGGAGCACGAAGGUUGGCUAAUCCUGGUCGGACAUCAGGAGGUUAGUGCAAUGGCAUAAGCCAGCUUGACUGCGAGCGUGACGGCGCGAGCAGGUGCGAAAGCAGGUCAUAGUGAUCCGGUGGUUCUGAAUGGAAGGGCCAUCGCUCAACGGAUAAAAGGUACUCCGGGGAUAACAGGCUGAUACCGCCCAAGAGUUCAUAUCGACGGCGGUGUUUGGCACCUCGAUGUCGGCUCAUCACAUCCUGGGGCUGAAGUAGGUCCCAAGGGUAUGGCUGUUCGCCAUUUAAAGUGGUACGCGAGCUGGGUUUAGAACGUCGUGAGACAGUUCGGUCCCUAUCUGCCGUGGGCGCUGGAGAACUGAGGGGGGCUGCUCCUAGUACGAGAGGACCGGAGUGGACGCAUCACUGGUGUUCGGGUUGUCAUGCCAAUGGCACUGCCCGGUAGCUAAAUGCGGAAGAGAUAAGUGCUGAAAGCAUCUAAGCACGAAGCUUGCCCCGAGAUGAGUUCUCCCUGAGACUUAGAGUCUCCUGAAGGAACGUUGAAGACGACGACGUUGAUAGGCCGGGUGUGUAAGCGCAGCGAUGCGUUGAGCUAACCGGUACUAAUGAACCGUGAGGCUUAACCUU
This 2645-nucleotide ribosomal RNA is filed under the name Escherichia coli KTE36. Its description in RNAcentral is "bacterial LSU rRNA". It matches the Rfam family "Bacterial large subunit ribosomal RNA". The record is from RNAcentral. Lineage: Bacteria; Pseudomonadati; Pseudomonadota; Gammaproteobacteria; Enterobacterales; Enterobacteriaceae.